Non-coding RNA from Sus scrofa (pig), 870 nucleotides. The record is from RefSeq and is a predicted model, not a curated record. Lineage: Eukaryota; Metazoa; Chordata; Mammalia; Artiodactyla; Suidae.
GAUAGGGAUGGAGAAGGCACAGGUGGUUGUAGAGGAGUCCCAACAGGGGAUCAUGGAUAAAGAGGGAAACCUGGGGGAUGCCGGGAGACCUCUGUAAGUUCAAGAAAACCAUCAGCACAAGGCAGGCUUGCUUAACUGGUGCAGGUGCGACAAUUGCCUCAGGUCCUUGGGUGGGGGCUGGGAUGAGACCUGCAUUCAGAUUCAGACCAAGGGCAGGAGUUUGAAGACCGCCCUUCAGCUGAUUGGAAUACACACCAUACUACGAAGGAGGAGCUACUACUCCCUGAAAGGAAGAGGCGGGCCUUUCCAGUCCCCACCCCCCUUGGAUGAUAAAAGUGUGGCCCACCCGGAUCCGCGGGCAGAGAGAUUUCUUGCCUGUCCCCUUCCGUCUCUGAUCAUGUCCCAUCACUUUGUCUCUCUCUGAAUUCCUCCUUCUUCUUCUUGGAGACAUGAAGAACCUGAACCUCAGUGAGUCCAGACACAGGGGCGCUUCCUAAAAUCAACUACCUGCAUGUUAGCCGACCAGGCUCUGCUUUGGAGGAAAACCAAGAUCACACAUGCCUCAAGCAGUAGCGGCUAAAUCCUGCAGGGCGAGGGAGGAGAAGGCUGGAGACUUCAGAGAGGGUUCCCAGUGACCCAGAACGUCAGAGGCGCUCCCGAAAGUCAGCAGCCCCUGGCCGGGGCUCACGCAGCUGUGCAGGAGUGUCCUGAGAACAAAUUCUGUCUUGUCCAAAACAUAAUGUAAGGUCCUCCGUGAGAUGUUGGAAAUGAGAGAAGGGAAACUGAAAGCAAUGAUGCUUGUUUAGCCUGGAGAAGAUAAAGCAAAAAGUUCAUCACUGACUUCCCGAAAAUAAAGGGCUAGUUCUCAGA